Molecule: ribosomal RNA, 275 nt
Filed under: uncultured bacterium
Lineage: Bacteria
Description: partial 16S ribosomal RNA
Rfam family: Bacterial small subunit ribosomal RNA
Source: RNAcentral
GCGUGAAUGAUGAAGGCCUUAGGGUUGUAAAGUUCUUUUAGUAGGGAAGAUAAUGACGGUACCUACAGAAAAAGCUCCGGCUAACUCCGUGCCAGCAGCCGCGGUAAGACGGAGGGAGCUAGCGUUGUUCGGAUUUACUGGGCGUAAAGGGCGCGUAGGCGGACUAAUAAGUUGGGAGUGAAAGCCCGGGGCUUAACCUCGGAACUGCUCUCAAAACUGUUAGUCUUGAGUGAAGUAGGGGGUGAUGGAAUUCCUAGUGUAGAGGUGAAAUUCUU